CAGCAGCCGCGGUAAUACCGGCGGCCCGAGUGGCGGUCCCUUUUUUUUGGCUUAAAGCGUCCGUAGCCGGGUUGGGAAGUCCUCCGGGAAAUCUGGCCGCUUAAAGGUCAGAAUGCCGGAGGAUACUCCCAGCCUAGGGAGCGGGCGAGGCCGGGGGGAUUCCCGGGGUAGGGGGGGAAUCCUAUAAUCCCGGGAGGACCACCUGUGGCGAAGGCGCUCGGCUGGAACGCGUCCGACGGUGAGGGACGAAGGCCAGGGGAGCAAACCGGAUUAGAUACCCGGGUAGUCCUGGCGGUAAACGAUGCGGACUUUGUGUCGGACAAGCUAUGAGCUUGUCCGGUGCCGGAGGGAAACCGUUAAGUCCGCCGCCUGGGGAGUACGGCCGCAAGGCUGAAACUUAAAGGAAUUGGCGGG
This 414-nucleotide ribosomal RNA is filed under the name uncultured microorganism. RNAcentral describes it as "partial 16S ribosomal RNA". It matches the Rfam family "Archaeal small subunit ribosomal RNA", at positions 459 to 872 of the family's 1478-position model. The record is from RNAcentral.